Molecule: ribosomal RNA, 18 nt
Filed under: Cirsium rhothophilum
Lineage: Eukaryota; Viridiplantae; Streptophyta; Magnoliopsida; Asterales; Asteraceae
Description: partial 28S ribosomal RNA
Source: RNAcentral
CGACCCCAGUCAGGCGGA